Long non-coding RNA from Caretta caretta (loggerhead turtle), 441 nucleotides. RefSeq lists it as uncharacterized. The record is from RefSeq and is a predicted model, not a curated record. NCBI's taxonomy places the organism in Eukaryota, Metazoa, Chordata, Testudines, Cheloniidae.
AGCAGUCACUGCAAAUUGGCUUUGAGGCACGCAGGAUGAAUCCCGCAGCGAGCAGAGUUCAGGCUGAGCCAAAGCUUCCCCAUUUCAAGUUAAAACCGGAUAUUUAAGGCCCGAACACGCCCUCAUGCCCGGGAGGGGUCUCAAGGAAUUUCUUUGGGAACCAACUCCAGGACACAGGCCCAAGAUCAGAACUGACAGACCUCAACACUCUGCCAAUGACACUGAGCAGAAACUGGAGUCCCCCAGAUGACCUGAUCCUGACUGGCCAUCAAGAAAAGUUCAUCUCUCUUAUUGGGAGUGGUGAGCACUGAAACUCCAGCUGCUUCAGCUUUUCGACAGAGAUCUACAGUUCUCUUUAGAUCAUCAUGGAUUCUAAAAUUCCAAGGAAUGUAAUAAUUAUCCUCACCAUCAGUUAUCUCAACUGCAUGAAAUCCCAUCAUA